UGGAAACUGGCCUAGGGAUAUGGAGCCCAACCAAUGGAAGAGGAGGCAGAGGGACAGAGGAGAGAAUCAAUCCCUAAUCGCUGAGGAGUAGGGAGUAGGAGGGGUGAAGAGGAAGUGAAAAGAAGAAAAAAAAAAAAAUCAGGAGAGAGAAAAGACAGAAAGCAGUGUGUUUACCAGCAGACAUUUGGGUGCUGUCAGCUGACUGCAAGAGCUCUGGGAUGUCUGAGAGAGAAAAGGGAGUUAUAUAACCAGGCUGUUAAAGCAGGGGGAGAGAGUGAGACAGACAGACAGAGACGGAGACAGAGAGGGACCGGGAAAAAAAAACAAAAACGCUGCCAUUUAAAGUGACAGGGACAACAUUAUCAAAGCAAAAAACAAACACGGUACACGAUGCUGCCUGCACAGACACCACACGGAGGCAGCUGAGUGUCCGACGUCUCUUGACACGGCAGAGAGGACCCAAUGGUACUCAAGGCAAACAUGAGUGUGUCAGUGUGUGACACAGGACUGCACUUUGCAGAGGACACUCACAGGGCCGUCAGCUUCCCAAUCAGACCCCCGGAGACAAGCCUCACCAAAUCAGUUAACCUUUGACCCCUCUGGAACGACUCGGGGCCCAAGAGUCACGGUCAGCCCGCUGAAAGACAAUGUGCAUCACGCUCCUUUCGACCGACAGGAGCAGUCAUGUUGGUUGGCGUCUGUCCACUCCGUAAAAUGAAGAAACAGCAGUCUAUCAUGAGCCCAUCUAAUGCCGGCCAAGACAUAUUUCUUUGAUAAUACAAAGUCAUGGCUCAGAGCUUCCUCUUCUCUCCAGCCUGACUUGAUACAUCUGGCUUACAACCUGUCGAUUUUUCCACAACGGCAGUGUAAUGUUAUGUCUUCGUCAUAACACUGAAAAUGAUUUAUACACAUUGUGCAUUCAAAUAUGUGCACUUUUUAGGUGUUGGUUGCUGAAAUGUGUUUUCCAUUUCAGUGUUUCCAGAAAAAUAUGCUUCUUAAGCCUGGGAAUCUCUCCUGCAGGAUGUUCACUGUAAUGAUUGUCAUGGACUGAAUUUGGCUAAUUAUCUGCACUGAAGGAGACUGGGAAAUAUUUAAUAUAGAUUUUAAUUUGAGGUAAUCAUCAAACUCAUCAGUCAUCAAUACUUUAAUUUACUAUGUGUAGAAUUCUAUGUGAUUAUAAUAUCACUAUCAUUAUUAACAUCAUUCUGAUGGAAUUUGUUUGUACAAAAAUUAAACAGCACUUUGUAAAGGUUGUUCGAGGUCCCUGAGUCAGGUCUGGGGAGGGAGCACCGGAGGACACGAGGACACGAGGACAUCGGAGGACACAGAGGCACAUGAUUUUUCAGCUUUAAAGUGACGCAACUCUCACAACCCCCCCAUCUGUGCUUCUACAUGGACUGCUCUAUGGCAGCUCAAUGUACAGUUUUCCUCAGGAUUAAGUAACUGUCUGCUAAUAAGGUUCAGAAUGCAAUAUGUUUGACUGAAGACAAAACCCCUUAAAUUAAAUUUAAAUACAUCUAA
Sebastes umbrosus (honeycomb rockfish) is the source of this 1521-nucleotide long non-coding RNA. RefSeq lists it as uncharacterized. Lineage: Eukaryota; Metazoa; Chordata; Actinopteri; Perciformes; Sebastidae. The record is from RefSeq and is a predicted model, not a curated record. The transcript is spliced from 2 exons.